This 466-nucleotide ribosomal RNA is filed under the name uncultured bacterium. RNAcentral's name for it is "SSU rRNA". It matches the Rfam family "Bacterial small subunit ribosomal RNA", at positions 26 to 518 of the family's 1533-position model. The record is from RNAcentral.
AGGACAAACGCUGGCGGCGUACCUAAGACAUGCAAGUCGAACGGGCGCUUCACCUUCGGGUGGGUGUGCUAGUGGCGGACGGGUGAGUAACGCGUAGGAACCUGUCAUCAAGAGGGGGAUAACGCUGGGAAACCGGCGCUAAUACCGCAUGUGGUCAUGAAAAUGAAGAAAGCAGCAAUGCGCUUGAUGAGGGGCCUGCGUCCGAUUAGCUUGUUGGUGGGGUAAAGGCCUACCAAGGCAUCGAUCGGUAGCUGGUCUGAGAGGAUGGUCAGCCACACUGGGACUGAGACACGGCCCAGACUCCUACGGGAGGCAGCAGUUAGGAAAUUUUCCCAAUGGGCGCAAGCCUGAGGGAGUAACGCCGCGUGGAGGAUGACGGCUUUCGGGUUGUAAACUCCUUUCUGUGGGAAGAGUAGAAGACGGUACCGCAGGAAUAAGCCUCGGCUAACUACGCGCCAGCAGCCGC